GACGAACGCUGGCGGCGUGCCUAAUACAUGCAAGUUGAGCGCUGAAGGUUGGUACUUGUACCAACUGGAUGAGCAGCGAACGGGUGAGUAACGCGUGGGGAAUCUGCCUUUGAGCGGGGGACAACAUUUGGAAACGAAUGCUAAUACCGCAUAAAAACUUUAAACACAAGGUUUAAGGUUGAAAGAUGCAAUUGCAUCACUCAAAGAUGAUCCCGCGUUGUAUUAGCUAGUUGGUGAGGUAAAGGCUCACCAAGGCGAUGAUAUAUAGCCGACCUGAGAGGGUGAUCGGCCACAUUGGGACUGAGACACGGCCCAAACUCCUACGGGAGGCAGCAGUAGGGAAUCUUCGGCAAUGGACGAAAGUCUGACCGAGCAACGCCGCGUGAGUGAAGAAGGUUUUCGGAUCGUAAAACUCUGUUGGUAGAGAAGAACGUUGGUGAGAGUGGAAAGCUCAUCAAGUGACGGUAACUACCCAGAAAGGGCCGGCUAACUACGUG
RNAcentral lists this ribosomal RNA (497 nucleotides) under uncultured bacterium. Its description in RNAcentral is "partial 16S ribosomal RNA". It matches the Rfam family "Bacterial small subunit ribosomal RNA", at positions 28 to 507 of the family's 1533-position model. The record is from RNAcentral.